AACGAACGCUGGCGGCAUGCCUAACACAUGCAAGUCGAACGAGACCUUCGGGUCUAGUGGCGCACGGGUUCGUAACGCGUGGGAACCUGCCCUUAGGUUCGGAAUAACUCCCCGAAAGGGGUGAUAAUACCGGAUAAUGUCUUCGGACCAAAGAUUUAUCGCCUUUGGAUGGGCCCGCGUUGGAUUAGCUAGUUGGUAGGGUAAAAGCCUACCACGGCGACGAUCCAUAGCUGGGCUGAGAGGAUGAUCAGCCACACUGGGACUGAGACACGGCCCAGACUCCUACGGGAGGCAGCAGUGGGGAAUAGUGGAAAAUGGGCGAAAGCCUGAUCCAGCAAUGCCGCGUGAGUGAUGAAGGCCGUAGGGUUGUAAAGCGCUUGUACCCGGGAUGAUAAUGACAGUACCGGGAGAAUAAGCUCCGGCUAACUCCGUG
Molecule: ribosomal RNA, 433 nt
Filed under: uncultured bacterium
Lineage: Bacteria
Description: partial 16S ribosomal RNA
Rfam family: Bacterial small subunit ribosomal RNA
Source: RNAcentral